This 348-nucleotide ribosomal RNA is filed under the name uncultured soil bacterium. RNAcentral describes it as "bacterial SSU rRNA". It matches the Rfam family "Bacterial small subunit ribosomal RNA", at positions 26 to 374 of the family's 1533-position model. The record is from RNAcentral.
AGGAUGAACGCUGGCGGCGUGCCUAAUACAUGCAAGUCGAGCGCCCCUUUAAGAGGUGACAAUCAACGAUUGUCGGUUCCUAUGGGGAGCGGCGGACGGCUGAGUAACGCGUGGGAACGUGCCCCAAAGUGAGGGAUAAGCACCGGAAACGGUGUCUAAUACCGCAUAUGAUCUUCGGAUUAAAGCUUUAUGCGCUUUGGGAGCGGCCUGCGUCCUAUUAGAUAGUUGGUGAGGUAAAGGCUCACCAAGUCAACGAUGGGUAGCUGGUCUGAGAGGAUGACCAGCCAGACUGGAACUGAGACACGGUCCAGACUCCUACGGGAGCAGCAGUAAGAAUCUACACAUGGG